UCCGAUUACGAUUUUACUCUAGAGUCUAAUGGUUCUCUUGAUUAUAUUAUAAAUAUACAACUCAAACUCCGAAUUGCAACCCAAGCUAUAGGUUUAAUAAACGUUGAAACUAUUCCUCCUGCGCCAUCUCCAUUGCUGUUUUCUCUCUGCUUGCUAUUACAAUCCAAUUCAAGAAGUUCGUUCAACUUUGAUGCUCAAGUCUAACAACAUAUAUAACCAUUGACAGAUAUUCAAAUUCAGCAUAAUUGUGAUUAAAAUUUUGGUCCUUCCCUGGAAUGAAAAUACUGUUUGUCAAUAAAUUUGGGAGUGAUUUUUGCGGUUAUAUUUAAUGGGCUGCUACUGUUCAACUUCAAAGAAAACCGAAGCACAAGGUUAUGAGGAACCCACUGUUCUUGCAUCUGUGACACCUUGUGAGUACCAUGAUCCAUCAUUGAAUGUUACUGUUAGUGAAGUAGAGGCCUUGCAUGAACUCUACAAGAAGUUGAGCAAUUCAAUUAUUGAAGAUGGUCUUAUUCACAGGGAAGAAUUCCAGCUGGCACUAUUCAGGAAUAAAAACAAGAAAAAUCUGUUUGCAGAUAGGAUUUUUGACUUAUUUGAUCUCAAGCGCAACGGGGUCAUUGAGUUUGGGGAAUUUGUUCGAUCACUGGGUGUUUUUCACCCAAAUGCAGCAUUAGAAGACAAGAUUACCUUUGCUUUUAGGUUGUAUGAUCUGAGGCAGACAGGGUUUAUUGAACGAGAGGAGUUAAAGGAGAUGGUAUUGGCACUUUUGCAUGAGUCGGAUCUUGAGCUUUCAGAUGAUAUGAUUGAAACCAUUGUGGAUAAGACUUUUAGUGAUGCUGAUAUAAACGGUGAUGGAAGGAUCGAUCAAGAUGAAUGGAAAGCAUUUGUGUCCAAGCAUCCAUCCUUGAUAAAGAAUAUGACACUUCCAUAUCUGAAGGAUAUUACCUUGGCUUUUCCCAGUUUUGUCACAGGAACGGAUAUUGAAGAGUCAGAGAUGUGACUCUGGGAGGUUUUGGCUUCACCAAUAAUGAUGCUAUACACUAGCAUAGUAGUAUUUGAGUCAUUUUGAAUACAAGGAACUCAUGCUAAUACGGACUAAUAAAAUAACAGCACGUAAAUAUUAAGUAAUGCAUGGUAGGCUGGAUUUAAAUGUUACAGCUAUUGGUGGUAUGUGGAAGGCAAGAAAUGACUUGCUAUGCCUAUAUUCAAUGCUUAAGUUUCUUAUUGUCCAUUGAGAUAUUACAGCUAUGAUCAGAAAAGUCAAGAAUUAAUACUCUUUGUCAAGCAAAAUUUACGUGGCAUUCAACUUAUCUUCCCUAAUUGCUCACCCGGGCAUCUAGCUUUUUUUACCCUGCAUGCAUGUGGAUCAAAUUCAUCAGUUUGUCAUCGCUCCUCGGCAAGUAUUCUGCAUCACGGAAUUAUAAGAUUAACUUGGUGAUAAAAGGAAGAGGGAAGAAAAAGUUGUGAUUUUUUAUUUUUCAUUAACAAAAUAUUAGCAAUCAAACUACUAACAUUUGCCGAUAAAAAAAAAAAUAAAGUACCGUGGCAUCACAUAUGGAGGAGGGAAGCUAAUCGGUGAGCUUAUGCAAUUGCUAAACAUGGAUUGAAUAUAGACUGCAGUGUUAGACUUUUCAAUGUUGUGCUUCCCCCCACCCCCAGAGACCUGGUAUAAUGUUUUUUAUGUUGACGAAAAUGUCCCUCACUACUACAAAAAUAGUGUAUAUCCAUCGUAGACAAGAAAACUUAUUUUCAUUUUGUAUAAA
RNA transcript from Glycine soja, 1763 nucleotides. It is a transcript of the gene named calcineurin B-like protein 4, with no coding region annotated. The transcript is spliced from 10 exons. The record is from RefSeq and is a predicted model, not a curated record. Lineage: Eukaryota; Viridiplantae; Streptophyta; Magnoliopsida; Fabales; Fabaceae.